UGCGCCUCCCCUUCCCCUUCCUCUCCCUCUCUACCUCUCUCCUCUCGAUGUGGUGGCGUACCGGCCGAGCCCGGCCGCAGUUGCCUACACGCAGGAUGGCUGCCGCAGUGCUGCUCCCUCCCGAGGUGUUUGCGUUACAGCCACCACGGCGGCCUCCGGCGGCGGCCGUGCCGAUGGUGACCCCCACGGGUCGUGCGCCGGUGAACCCCCUCCUCCACCACCUACCUCCUCCCUUCCCAUCUCUCUUCCUCGCUCCUCGUCGGAGACAACAAUGAUGAGCUAGGGUUUCGUGUCUCCUUCGCUUUCUAUCCCGGAUCGAAUGCGUCUCGCGUGGGUGAUGCCGUGCCCGCCUCCCGUUCCCCUCUCCCCCGUGCGGCCUCUUGCACGUGGCUCUGAUAGUGUCGUUACCUUUCUAAAUUCUUUUUUUAAUGCAUCCAGUUUACCUGCAUGUCAAAAUAAAUUUAAUUAUGUUUGUUGUUGUACCAGUUUGUUUUUGCUUUUCGUUGAAACAAAUUUAAAAUCUUAGUCUUUUUUAAGAUGGUACUGCAGGGUUUCCCAAAGGUGAAGUUAAAAUCAUAAAACGAGAGGUAUAUGCUUCUCUCCAUUUAUUUGUGCAAUGAUAUGUUGUCAGGUGUAACUCUGUGUGCUGAUCUAUGCCUUUGAUCCGUUGAAUUCAUUUCCUGUACGUAUGAAUUUGUUUUGCUCAUGCACAACAUUUGUGUUCUCACAGAAAAAAUCAGUGCUUGGCUCAAUGCAUUGU
This 760-nucleotide long non-coding RNA is filed under the name Sorghum bicolor (sorghum). RNAcentral describes it as "long non-coding RNA (SBIC_LNC005978)". Lineage: Eukaryota; Viridiplantae; Streptophyta; Magnoliopsida; Poales; Poaceae. The record is from RNAcentral.